RNAcentral lists this ribosomal RNA (447 nucleotides) under uncultured bacterium. RNAcentral describes it as "partial 16S ribosomal RNA". It matches the Rfam family "Bacterial small subunit ribosomal RNA", at positions 29 to 523 of the family's 1533-position model. The record is from RNAcentral.
AACGAACGCUGGCGGCAGGCUUAACACAUGCAAGUCGAGCGCCCCGCAAGGGGAGCGGCAGACGGGUGAGUAACGCGUGGGAAUCUACCCAUCCCUACGGAAUAGCUCCGGGAAACUGGAAUUAAUACCGUAUACGCCCUACGGGGGAAAGAUUUAUCGGGGAUGGAUGAGCCCGCGUUGGAUUAGCUAGUUGGUGGGGUAAAAGCCUACCAAGGCGACGAUCCAUAGCUGGUCUGAGAGGAUGAUCAGCCACAUUGGGACGGAGACACGGCCCAAACUCCUACGGGAGGCAGCAGUGGGGAAUAUGGGACAAGGGGGGCAACCCUGAUCCAGCCAUGCCGCGUGAGUGAUGAAGGCCUUAGGGUUGUAAAGCUCUUUCACCGGGGAAGAUAAUGACGGUACCCGGAGAAGAAGCCCCGGCUAACUUCGUGCCAGCCGCCGCCGUAA